This is a long non-coding RNA of Lethenteron reissneri (Far Eastern brook lamprey), 625 nucleotides long. RefSeq lists it as uncharacterized. Lineage: Eukaryota; Metazoa; Chordata; Hyperoartia; Petromyzontiformes; Petromyzontidae. The record is from RefSeq and is a predicted model, not a curated record.
UGAAGAUGGUGAUGAGAGUGCUCCUGCUAAGUAGUGGUACUUUAGAUGAUGAUUACGAUGCUGCGACUAUUGCUGUAGCUGCUGAAAUAAUAAUGAUGCUGCAUCUGCUGCUGACAAUGAUGAUGCCCCUCUCCACCCACCUUCGUCCACCCCCACAGGUUCCGAGGAGGAGCGCCGCGUGGUGGUGUAAGCACUCAGCCUGCUGAAGCGCGGGAGUGCAGAGAGGCGAACCCACGAGGUGGAGACAGGAGGGCCAGGGUCCUCCUGGGGGAACAAAGCGAGCGGCGUCCUGGCGGGGUCGAGAGGGCAGGAGACGCAGCGGAUAUUGGCAGGGCUCUGGAUAGCGGCGCGUGCUGGUGUGCGAGCCCCCGAGCGCGUACCUGCACCUGGCCGUGGACCACUUCGCACUCGUGCUGGUGGCGUGUGCGCCGGUGCUCGACAUGGCGCCGAGAUUGCACGUGACCCGUGUGCGCUCCCCACGCUUGCACGUGAUGGAGGGGACCCACGUGGGUCGCGAUCUCUUCUCCGAGCUCUGCUUCACGAACCCCGUGGCACGCCCCCUGCACCGCGUGCGCGUCCGCGUGGAGGGAGCCGGCGUGCACACGCCGAGCAACAUACUCGUCGG